UGGGAGGUCCAGGCGCUCGGAUCACAGGGUCAUCGUCGUCGAAUAUAUGUGGCUCCAUAGGCCGGAAGAAGGGUUGUGCGGGCACGAGAGAUGAAGUGGGUGGCUUUGAUGGCAUGGAGCUCUCGGAGAAGCAGAAAGAAGGCAGGUCAUGGCAUCUCACGCUGUGGAGCGGGCAGACUUGGCGGCUGCUGGCGAUUCUCCCGGUUGUGUCUGGGCGCCAGGCGCGUGCUCGUCCUCAGUACAAGCGGCUAUCUGCUCUUCAUCCUCACCAACCUGGUCCCGGCAUGGUGCGGAUGGUCACGACACAAGUCGUACAAUCUCACACUGACAUGAUAAUACCGUGCAGUUCUGUAUCGUAGUGUUUGGUUUGGAUGCUUUGUUCCUACUUGAUAGAACGCCUGCUUAGAUAAUGUUCAUUCCCCUGAAAGAAGUCCAUUUAAGUUCGGCAGAAGUGUCAAUUUUAUACAGUAAUGUUUCGUCUGUCAUGUAUUUUUUGUUCGUAGUUGAGACGUUG
Molecule: long non-coding RNA, 514 nt
Filed under: Hordeum vulgare
Lineage: Eukaryota; Viridiplantae; Streptophyta; Magnoliopsida; Poales; Poaceae
Description: long non-coding RNA (HVUL_LNC014832)
Source: RNAcentral